RNAcentral lists this transfer RNA (73 nucleotides) under Actinomycetota bacterium. RNAcentral's name for it is "tRNA-Lys". It matches the Rfam family "tRNA". Rfam says of the family: Transfer RNA (tRNA) molecules are approximately 80 nucleotides in length. Their secondary structure includes four short double-helical elements and three loops (D, anti-codon, and T loops). The record is from RNAcentral. Lineage: Bacteria; Bacillati; Actinomycetota.
GCCGGCGUAGCUCAGUUGGCAGAGCAGCGGACUUUUAAUCCGAAGCGCCUGGGUUCGAGUCCCAGCGCCGGCA